GGGAUAUUAGCUCAGUUGGCAGAGCACCUGACUUUUAAUCAGGUUGUCCGGGGUUCGAAUCCCCGAUGUCUCA
RNAcentral lists this transfer RNA (73 nucleotides) under Roseburia sp. Its description in RNAcentral is "tRNA-Lys". It matches the Rfam family "tRNA". From Rfam's summary of the family: Transfer RNA (tRNA) molecules are approximately 80 nucleotides in length. Their secondary structure includes four short double-helical elements and three loops (D, anti-codon, and T loops). The record is from RNAcentral. Lineage: Bacteria; Bacillati; Bacillota; Clostridia; Lachnospirales; Lachnospiraceae.